GGCCGAGUAGCUCAGUUGGUAGAGCGGGGGAUUGAAAAUCCCCGUGUCGGCGGUUCGAUUCCGUCCUCGGCCACCA
Molecule: transfer RNA, 76 nt
Filed under: Stenotrophomonas sp. TEPEL
Lineage: Bacteria; Pseudomonadati; Pseudomonadota; Gammaproteobacteria; Lysobacterales; Lysobacteraceae
Description: tRNA-Phe
Rfam family: tRNA
About the family: Transfer RNA (tRNA) molecules are approximately 80 nucleotides in length. Their secondary structure includes four short double-helical elements and three loops (D, anti-codon, and T loops).
Source: RNAcentral